GUGCUUGCUUCAGCAGCACAUAUGCUAAUAUCGGAUACAGAGAAGAUUAGCAUGGCCAUUGCAAAAGGAUGACACACAAAUUCAUGAAGCGUUUCAUUGUUUU
Molecule: small nuclear RNA, 103 nt
Filed under: Meriones unguiculatus (Mongolian gerbil)
Lineage: Eukaryota; Metazoa; Chordata; Mammalia; Rodentia; Muridae
Source: RNAcentral